GGUUGCUUAGCUCAGCGGGAGAGCAUUCCCUUCACAGGGGAGGGGUCAAGGGUUCAAACCCCUUAGCGACCACCA
This 75-nucleotide transfer RNA is filed under the name Lachnospiraceae bacterium. Its description in RNAcentral is "tRNA-Val". It matches the Rfam family "tRNA". Rfam says of the family: Transfer RNA (tRNA) molecules are approximately 80 nucleotides in length. RNAcentral also lists the same sequence under 2 other names. Lineage: Bacteria; Bacillati; Bacillota; Clostridia; Lachnospirales; Lachnospiraceae. The record is from RNAcentral.